GUCCUCUUAACCAAGGAGUGUAGAGACACUGGUAUGGCAUACAGGUGAGAUGUAAGGGUACAUCAUCAUUGAACGUGACCAACUCCAGAGUAUUCUGCUGUCGAGAAUGUCUCUGAUGGGAUAUAGGUAUAAGUGUCCCUUAGACCUGAGAUCACCUCAGUGACUUGCAAGCAACUCACUGUGCUUUGGUAUUGGACUAACUGAAUUUUUAAUUCA
Molecule: long non-coding RNA, 216 nt
Filed under: Elaeis guineensis (African oil palm)
Lineage: Eukaryota; Viridiplantae; Streptophyta; Magnoliopsida; Arecales; Arecaceae
Description: long non-coding RNA (EGUI_LNC065864)
Source: RNAcentral